UUGACAACAUUAGAGUCCUCUGUUUCUCCAGAGAUCAGGUGCAGCAUGGGGAGUAAAGUGUAAGCUUCCCCAUAUGACUCGACCCAUAUUCCUGUACCCUGACCUGGAGUGAUCACCUCUAGGAAUGACAGGUGGCAUUGAUCUCCAAGUCCGUUCACUCCAUGGUCUCU
Unclassified non-coding RNA from Chelonoidis abingdonii (Abingdon island giant tortoise), 170 nucleotides. Lineage: Eukaryota; Metazoa; Chordata; Testudines; Testudinidae. The record is from Ensembl.